GACGAACGCUGGCGGCGUGCUUAACACAUGCAAGUCGAACGGAAAGACCCUGCUUUUGUGGGGUGCUCGAGUGGCGAACGGGUGAGUAACACGUGAGUAACCUGCCCUUGACUUUGGGAUAACUUCAGGAAACUGGGGCUAAUACCGGAUAGGAGCUCCUGCUGCAUGGUGGGGGUUGGAAAGUUUCGGCGGUUGGGGAUGGACUCGCGGCUUAUCAGCUUGUUGGUGGGGUAGUGGCUUACCAAGGCUUUGACGGGUAGCCGGCCUGAGAGGGUGACCGGGCACAUUGGGACUGCGAUACGGCCCAGACUCCUACGGGAGGCAGCAGUGGGGAAUAUUGCACAAUGGGCGGAAGCCUGAUGCAGCAACGCCGCGUGCGGGAUGACGGCCUUCGGGUUGUAAACCGCUUUCGCCUGUGACGAAGCGUGAGUGACGGUAAUGGGUAAAGAAGCACCGGCUAACUACGUG
RNAcentral lists this ribosomal RNA (468 nucleotides) under uncultured bacterium. RNAcentral describes it as "partial 16S ribosomal RNA". It matches the Rfam family "Bacterial small subunit ribosomal RNA", at positions 28 to 507 of the family's 1533-position model. The record is from RNAcentral.